CCUACGGGAGGCAGCAGUGAGGAAUAUUGGUCAAUGGACGAGAGUCUGAACCAGCCAAGUAGCGUGAAGGAUGACUGCCCUAUGGGUUGUAAACUUCUUUUAUAUGGGAAUAAAAUGUUCCACGUGUGGGAUUUUUUAUGUACCAUAUGAAUAAGGAUCGGCUAACUCCGUUCCAGCAGCCGCGGUAAUACGGAGGGUCCGAGCGUUAUCCGGAUUUAGUGGGUUUAAAGGGAGAGUAGGUGGAUUGUUAAGUCAGUUGUGAAAGUUUGCGGCUCAACCGUAAAAUUGCAGUUGAAACUGGCAGUCUUGAGUACAGUAGAGGUGGGCGGAAUUCGUGGUGUAGCGGUGAAAUGCUUAGAUAUCACGAAGAACACCGAUUGCGAAGGCAGCUCCCUGGACUGCAACUGACACUGAGGCUCGAAAGUGUGGGUAUCAAACAGGAUUAGAUACCCCUGUAGUC
Molecule: ribosomal RNA, 460 nt
Filed under: uncultured bacterium
Lineage: Bacteria
Description: partial 16S ribosomal RNA
Rfam family: Bacterial small subunit ribosomal RNA
Source: RNAcentral